UACGGAGGGGGCUAGCGUUGUUCGGAAUUACUGGGCGUAAAGCGCACGUAGGCGGAUUGGAAAGUCAGGGGUGAAAUCCCGGGGCUCAACCCCGGAACUGCCUUUGAAACUCCCAGUCUGGAGGUCGAGAGAGGUGAGUGGAAUUCCGAGUGUAGAGGUGAAAUUCGUAGAUAUUCGGAGGAACACCAGUGGCGAAGGCGGCUCACUGGCUCGAUUCUGACGCUGAGGUGCGACAGCGUGGGGAGCAAACAGG
This 253-nucleotide ribosomal RNA is filed under the name uncultured bacterium. RNAcentral's name for it is "partial 16S ribosomal RNA". It matches the Rfam family "Bacterial small subunit ribosomal RNA", at positions 524 to 776 of the family's 1533-position model. The record is from RNAcentral.